GGAGAGAUGGCUGAGUGGUCGAAAGCGCCUUCCUGCUAAGAAGGUGGUUCCAUAAAACGGGGCCCGAGGGUUCGAAUCCCUCUCUCUCCGCCA
RNAcentral lists this transfer RNA (93 nucleotides) under Puniceicoccales bacterium. Its description in RNAcentral is "tRNA-Ser". It matches the Rfam family "tRNA". From Rfam's summary of the family: Transfer RNA (tRNA) molecules are approximately 80 nucleotides in length. Their secondary structure includes four short double-helical elements and three loops (D, anti-codon, and T loops). The record is from RNAcentral. Lineage: Bacteria; Pseudomonadati; Verrucomicrobiota; Opitutia; Puniceicoccales.